RNAcentral lists this transfer RNA (71 nucleotides) under Sphaerodactylus townsendi. RNAcentral describes it as "tRNA-Ser". It matches the Rfam family "tRNA". From Rfam's summary of the family: Transfer RNA (tRNA) molecules are approximately 80 nucleotides in length. Their secondary structure includes four short double-helical elements and three loops (D, anti-codon, and T loops). Lineage: Eukaryota; Metazoa; Chordata; Lepidosauria; Squamata; Sphaerodactylidae. The record is from RNAcentral.
GGGGCUAUGGCUCAGGGUACAGCAUCUGCUUGGAAUGCAAAAGGUCCCAGGUUCAAUCAUUGGUAUUUCUA